UGGAAAAAGAACAAAAAUGGAGUCUGUUAUGCUAAAAGUGUGAAGCAGGAGUUCUGGAGUUUGUUUACAGUUAAUCUGAAACAUAGGGUUGCUGCUGCAAGAAUAUUAGAGGCCUAUCUAGUGAAAAGAGUAACUAAUAUGGUGUACCAACUUCGUUUGGAUGCGGUGAAGGUGUACUUUAACAAAAGGAAAGAGGAAUGUGAUGACAUACGAGCACUCACCAUUGAACUAACAGAAGAACAAUACUUGGCUUCUCGGGUGGAGUGGUGUAAUAAGGCAACUUGGGCAUGGUUCUCUAAAUAUUGGGUUAGUGAUGAGUUCAAGAGAAAGAGACUGGAAGCCCAAGAGUCAUGCAUGAAUUCUGAAGAUACUGCUCAAAAUAGAGGAGGUUCACGGAAUUUUUCUGAGACACAACAACUCCUGGUACAAGAAAUCCUUAUCUCUCGUAAGCCAUUGAGCUCUGCAAAGUUUCUCAUGCACAAUUUCUGGUAUCUGAUCUUGUAGGAACACAAUUUCGGUCCUGAGAAGGGUGGCACUCUAAACACAUAUGCUGUGAUGAAAUCUGGAUACAAAACUGUAGACAUCACUGGUAGGAGUGGUCCAAUACCCAGCCAGAAAGCGCAAAGACACUUGGAUGACUACAAAGAACUAGCUGCAGACGAGAACUCUCAAGAUUUGGAUGGAAAGGCACUAUACACCAUGGGAGGUGGCAUGAAGCAUGGGCGUGUUCCAAUUGGUGAUGGUGCUGUGG
This is a long non-coding RNA of Panicum virgatum (switchgrass), 751 nucleotides long. RefSeq lists it as uncharacterized. The record is from RefSeq and is a predicted model, not a curated record. Lineage: Eukaryota; Viridiplantae; Streptophyta; Magnoliopsida; Poales; Poaceae. The transcript is spliced from 3 exons.